This is a long non-coding RNA of Cyprinus carpio carpio, 1351 nucleotides long. The record is from Ensembl. NCBI's taxonomy places the organism in Eukaryota, Metazoa, Chordata, Actinopteri, Cypriniformes, Cyprinidae.
GCUUCAUUGGGUCCUGUCCAUUGCAGAAGGUGUCUAUGUGUGUUUGUUUUGUCUUCCAGUCUGCUGGACCAUCUCUAGCUGUAAUCAGCCAAGGUCAAAGAUGAAGGUUUUCGUACAACACUGUGAUAUGCAAGACUGAUGUCCUCAUUUGUUGAGGACUACUGGCUCAUUGUAGACCUCCAACAUUCCAAUUACAGGAGAAUAAAAAGCAAACCUGAGAUUUGCUUUGCCUCAACCUCAUUUUACAUCAUUAGACAGAAUGCUGAUGAACCAGGUAAUUUAAACAGAUAAAACGCUCAUUGAGUCAUUGAAAAAUUAAUAACGUAAAAACAUUGUGUCUGAUCUACUCUGCCUCCCUUCCCACAUGGUCAUUCCCAAUUCUGUUUUAAAUGUUUUCCCCAUACAUGCCAUUUCAAAGUUUUGGAUGGAUUACAAAAAAGUACCUGAACAAAUAGCUAAUGUAUCAACAUGCAUAGUUGGGUCAUAGUCUUACAAUUAUUUACAAUUACCUGCAUGAAAGAGUGCUUUUUUCCAGCUUUGUUUUGCUUCUUUGUUUGGCUUUUGUUCUUUGUUGCAAAUGUGGAAAGGUUGCUUGAUGCAUUUCAAAGGAUACACAGGACAUGCAUUUUAAAGAGAGUGAAUGAAACCUUCAAACCAAAAGCCAAACCCCUAUGAGCACUGGCAGAGGACUAUGCCUCCUUCUCUGGAACACUUCAACCUGGAUAUCACUCGUACCAUCCAUCAUAGAAGACAUAUCAACAAGGGCUUUCUUUCUGUGAUCCAUCAUAACAUCUGCUAGACCCUGGAUUGUAAGUUAUUGCUCUAAAUAGUAUUAGCAUAAAAAGUAUACUCAAAAAGGACAAUAUGGCUCUCUGUGUCCAAAAGUAGGAUAAACAAAGAUGUCAUAGAGAUACAGUCGACCACUUGUCCCAGAGAACAACAAAUAGUCUAGAAGAGUGCAGCACAUUGGAAGACACUGAUUAACAAACCCUUGAGAUAACAUUAGUCAGAAGCAGAUUCCACAAGGGAUGUACAAUCUUUGUCAGUCUCCAUGGGAGAAUCCAUGUUUGUAAAGGGGCAUGUGAUAACCUAUAAAACUUAGUGGCAUGGGUCACUCCAGUCAAGUUGUGGAGGGACUCCGCCAUCCUUUCUGUUAUUAUUAUAUAUGGCAAAAUUUCCCAGCAUACAUUGCCUUCAGGAUAUGACAUGCGCCCAUCUAUACCUCAUCAAAGCCAGGCUACAGACCUCUGCAUAAUAUAUACUUCUAACACUAAAGUUGGAAUAAUGGGAAAACACUAAUUAACCUUGGCUGAAAGAGUGAGCCCCUGGAGAGACAGCUUUAUAACAGGAG